GGUUAAGCGACUAAGCGUACACGGUGGAUGCCCUGGCAGUCAGAGGCGAUGAAGGGCGUGCUAAUCUGCGAUAAGCGCCGGUAAGGUGAUAUGAACCGUUAUAACCGGCGAUACCCGAAUGGGGAAACCCAGUGUGACUCGUCACACUAUCAUUAACUGAAUCCAUAGGUUAAUGAGGCGAACCGGGGGAACUGAAACAUCUAAGUACCCCGAGGAAAAGAAAUCAACCGAGAUUCCCCCA
This 241-nucleotide ribosomal RNA is filed under the name Salmonella enterica subsp. enterica serovar Infantis. RNAcentral describes it as "partial 23S ribosomal RNA". It matches the Rfam family "Bacterial large subunit ribosomal RNA", at positions 1 to 242 of the family's 2925-position model. The record is from RNAcentral. RNAcentral also lists the same sequence under 25 other names. Lineage: Bacteria; Pseudomonadati; Pseudomonadota; Gammaproteobacteria; Enterobacterales; Enterobacteriaceae.